RNAcentral lists this unclassified non-coding RNA (3137 nucleotides) under Rhopalosiphum maidis (corn leaf aphid). RNAcentral's name for it is "metabotropic glutamate receptor 2, transcript variant X2". Lineage: Eukaryota; Metazoa; Arthropoda; Insecta; Hemiptera; Aphididae. The record is from RNAcentral.
AUGGGUACCUGAGUUUUGAGACACCAUAUAUUGUGGAUAUUGAAUCGGGUUCAUUUCAUUUAAAAUUCAAAAUGGCUGUCGUAUUUAAUACAGCCAUAAUUGUAAUUGUGCUGUGGUCUCCGUUUGUGGUGUGUUUCAAUCAUACAGGAUGGCUUCGUCGAAUGUCUCAGACGCCGUUUCCGGAAGUGCGUAUGCGUCAUAUGCGGCAUUCCGGACUUUCUACGGAACAAUUUGUAUGGCCUAUGAAAAAAGAGGCCGUGGUCGAGGGCGAUUUGCUCCUCGGUGGAUUGAUGAUGGUCCAUUCUCGCGAGGAUACCCAGUUCACUUGCGGUCCGAUUAUGGCUCAAGGUGGUAUACAGACCGUAGAGACGAUGCUCUAUACCUUGGAUCAAAUCAAUAAACAGUGGACCAAGUUUAAAAUCGGAGCCCUCAUAUUGGACGACUGUGAUAAGGAUACGUAUGGAUUGGAAAUGGCUAUAGACUUCAUAAAAGGUUCUAUUAGCAACAUAGAUGAAACUCAAUAUUUUCAUUGUAACAAGUCACAAGUAAGAAAAGUAAUAUCUGGCGUAGUUGGAGCAGCUUCAAGUGUUACAUCUGUUCAAGUAGCAAAUUUAUUAAGACUUUUCAAAAUACCCCAGGUCUCGUUUUGGUCAACUAGUCCUGAACUAAGUAAUAAACAACGUUUUGAAUACUUCACACGAACUAUACCUUCAGAUCUUUACCAAGUGAAGGUUAUGGUAGAAAUUGUCCGGAGACUUGGCUGGAGUUACAUAUCAAUUAUUUACGAAGAGUCCAGUUAUGGCAUUAAAGCUUUUGAAGAAUUAGAGAAGUUGAUGCCCAAGUACAAUAUCUGUAUUGCGGCAAAGGAAAAACUAGUAAAAGAUUCGGGCGUGGCAGAAGAAAAAGCUUAUGAUGAUAUCGUGAUUAAGCUUCUCGGCAAGCCUAAGGCUAAGGGGGUUAUAGUUUUUGGAUCAGACCAAGAAGUAGUGAGUUUAAUGAAAGCAGUAAGGAGAAAUAAUGCCACUGGAAAUUUUUCAUGGAUUGGUUCAGAUGGAUGGAGUGCAAGAGAUAUGGUAUCAGCUACAAAUGAAGCCGAAGUGGAAGGAUGCUUAUCUGUUCAACCUCAAGCUAACCCUGUCAUUGGGUUCGAAGAGUACUUCUUAGGACUCACUGUAGAAAACAACAAAAGAAAUCCCUGGUUCACAGAAUUCUGGGAAGAGCACUUCCAGUGUCGAUAUCCGAGAAGCUUGAGAACACCGUACAACUCUAAUUAUUCAAAUGAAUGUGACUCUAAGUUUCAUCUGAGAGAAAAAAUACCAAAGUUUGAAAACCAAUUACAAUUUGUUAGUGAUUCCGUACUAGCAUUUGCACAUGCAUUGUACGAUAUGCAUUCUGAUCAUUGUGGUCCGAACUUUGUUGGUUUAUGUGAAGCCAUGAAACCUGUUAAAGGACCUGAACUCUUAAUGUAUCUCAGAAAAGUAAACUUCACAGGUCUCACGGGCGAUAAUUUUCACUUCGAUGACAACGGGGACGGACCUGCCCGUUAUAACAUCAUUCACUUCAAACAGGUAGAGCCAGGCGUUUUUAAAUGGAUCAAAGUCGGUGUGUACUCGGACGGCAAACUCAAUCUCAACAUGUCCGAGAUGCGGUUCAAAACAGACUCAUCAAAUCCACCGGAAUCCGUUUGCAGCUUGCCGUGCCAAAAAGGCCAAGCUAAGCAGUAUCUGGAGGGCGAAAAAUGCUGCUGGCACUGUUUCAACUGCACACAAUACCAGAUCCGUUCACCCACUGACGACACCAGAUGCGAAGUCUGUCUCGAAGGCACGUUACCCGACAGUAAUCGUCAACGCUGUUUGGAAAUCCCGGAAGCAUUUUUACAGAUCGGGAGCAGUUGGGCUAUCGGGGCGAUGACACUGUCAGUGGCAGGUAUUGCCAUCACUUUGUUAGUGGUUUCCGUGUUUAUCAAACACAAUCAUACACCGAUCGUGAAGGCCGCUGGCAGGGAAGUUUCGUACGUACUUUUGUCCGGCAUACUGCUGUGCUAUCUCAUCACGUUUGUGCUCGUUCUCAAACCCACUGACAUCGUAUGCGCAGUACAAAGAUUUGGUGUUGGGUUCUGUUUCACUGUUGUGUAUGCUGCAUUAUUAACAAAAACGAAUCGCAUAUCACGCAUAUUUAACGCCGGACGACGGACUGUUAAACGUCCUAAAUUUAUAUCACCAAAAUCGCAAUUGGUCAUCUGCACAGGACUCAUAUCGAUACAAGUGCUCAUCAACGGCGUAUGGAUGCUGGUCAGCCCGCCAAAGGUCAUACACUAUUAUCCUAGCAGGGAGUCGAAUAUACUAGUUUGCUCGUCGUUCAUCAACACAUCGUACGUGAUAGCGUUCGGAUACCCAAUAGUGUUGAUUGUCGUGUGCACCGUUUACGCUGUGCUCACCAGAAACAUUCCUGAAGCCUUCAACGAGUCUAAGCACAUCGGUUUCACAAUGUAUACAACAUGUGUCAUAUGGCUCGCAUUCGUUCCGCUAUACUUUGGAAUUGGCAACCAUACUCCACUAAGGAUAACUACCAUGUCAGUAACCAUUAGCCUAUCCGCUAGUGUAACUAUAGUUUGCUUGUUCUCUCCAAAGUUGUAUAUAAUUUUGUGUCAUCCGGAACGAAACGUGCGUCAAAGUAUGAUGCCAAAUAUGAAGUUAACGGGCACUAAAACAUUUACAACAUCGAAUACGAAUGCAUUUUGUAACAAUUCAACAAGACGGCGCAGCUCAUUAGCUUAUAAAGAUUCCAGUACGGAUAUGCAUAUCAGCUUGGAAAAUCGAAAACAAGUUCUCGAACGAGCCGUACAAACAGAAGAGACGAGAAUCGUAUCGAGAUCGUAAUCGACAAACAAUUUCGAACGUAUAAUAUCUUUUAUUCCCCUAACCAUCGAAUGAAAAGCACAAAGUCCAAACAGUAUACAGAGUGAUCAAAUCGUAGACGUAAAUAGAAUUUCGUUUUUCUACACUUUACUCAAACUCGUUGAACAACCAUCAAUUCGGAUAGCGGAUAUACUUAUCACAACAAUAGAUACGAUAUUGAAUUGCUACAACAAAGUUUUUAGUCAAACGUCAACUAUCAAAUUACCGAAAAGGGGAUUU